CUUACCAACACUUACAUGUAUUCACCCUAAUUAGCUCAUGUGAAAAGGAUCUUCCUGUAUUUCUAACAAGUAUAAUUUGGAGAGUAGAUAGAUCUCAGGGAAGGAUUUUGGAGCAUGCCAAAUGAAUUACUGGACUCAGUCCAUUCUCUAACUUAACAUCACUCGCUUACUUAGCAGUACGUGAUGUUGGUGAGAAGAACCAGCAGAGGACACAGGAAGUAGAAGAAGAGCUCACAUCUGUCCACGAUUUAUAUUGCAUUUCAGUUUAUGUGGUCAUUGGAGACUCAGUUUGUGAAGGGGAUGAGAUGGACAGAGUUUAAAUUUCUCUUUCAAAAAAUGAUGCCUUCGAGG
This 351-nucleotide long non-coding RNA is filed under the name Gorilla gorilla gorilla (western lowland gorilla). RNAcentral's name for it is "lncRNA (ENSGGOG00000044231.1)". Lineage: Eukaryota; Metazoa; Chordata; Mammalia; Primates; Hominidae. The record is from RNAcentral.